GGAGGGUGCAAGCGUUAAUCGGAAUUACUGGGCGUAAAGCGCACGCAGGCGGUUUGUUAAGUCAGAUGUGAAAUCCCCGGGCUCAACCUGGGAACUGCAUCUGAUACUGGCAAGCUUGAGCCUCGUAGAGGGGGGUAGAAUUCCAGGUGUAGCGGUGAAAUGCGUAGAGAUCUGGAGGAAUACCGGUGGCGAAGGCGGCCCCUGGACGAAGACUGACGCUCAGGUGCGAAAGCGUGGGGAGCAAACAGGAUUAGAUACCCUGGUAGUCCACGCCGUAAACGAUGUCGACUUGGAGGUUGUGCCCUUGAGGCGUGGCUUCCGGAGCUAACGCGUUAAGUCGACCGCCUGGGGAGUACGGCCGCAAGGUUA
Molecule: ribosomal RNA, 369 nt
Filed under: uncultured bacterium
Lineage: Bacteria
Description: bacterial SSU rRNA
Rfam family: Bacterial small subunit ribosomal RNA
Source: RNAcentral